GCCGGAGUGGCGGAAUAGGCAGACGCGCUGGAUUCAAAAUCCUGUGCCCGCAAGGGCGUGUGGGUUCGAUUCCCACCUCCGGCA
RNAcentral lists this transfer RNA (84 nucleotides) under bacterium. RNAcentral describes it as "tRNA-Leu". It matches the Rfam family "tRNA". From Rfam's summary of the family: Transfer RNA (tRNA) molecules are approximately 80 nucleotides in length. Their secondary structure includes four short double-helical elements and three loops (D, anti-codon, and T loops). The record is from RNAcentral.